Molecule: ribosomal RNA, 199 nt
Filed under: uncultured bacterium
Lineage: Bacteria
Description: partial 16S ribosomal RNA
Rfam family: Bacterial small subunit ribosomal RNA
Source: RNAcentral
ACGCUCGACACCUACGGGAGGCCGCAGUCGGGAAUAUUGCGCAAUGGAGGAAACUCUGACGCAGUGACGCCGCGUAUGGGAAGAAGGUUUUCGGAUUGUAAACCAUUUUAGACAAGGAAGAAACAAGACAGUACUUGUAGAAUAAGCUCCGGCUAACUACGUACCAGCAGCCGCGGUAAUCUGAGCGGGCUGGCAAGGC